GGCUGGUCUGAUGGGAAUGGGUUAUCGGAACUUAUUAAUAUUACCGUCACUAAAUUUGGUAUACAACUCUCCCACUGCUAAAUUUGACUGGCAAAG
This 96-nucleotide Y RNA is filed under the name Cebus imitator (Panamanian white-faced capuchin). RNAcentral describes it as "Y RNA (ENSCCAG00000011638.1)". It matches the Rfam family "Y RNA". Rfam says of the family: Y RNAs are components of the Ro ribonucleoprotein particle (Ro RNP), in association with Ro60 and La proteins. Lineage: Eukaryota; Metazoa; Chordata; Mammalia; Primates; Cebidae. The record is from Rfam by way of RNAcentral.